This 1277-nucleotide long non-coding RNA is filed under the name Fukomys damarensis (Damara mole-rat). Its description in RNAcentral is "lncRNA (ENSFDAG00000024428.1)". The record is from RNAcentral. Lineage: Eukaryota; Metazoa; Chordata; Mammalia; Rodentia; Bathyergidae.
AUGCAGUCAACAAACUCAACAAUAUGGAAAACUCACCUGUGCGUGCUGGUUCAACCAUGUACUCAGAAGACUGAAGCAAAAGGAUUUCAAGAUAGAGGCCAGCCUGGACUCGAGGGAGAAACACUAUUUCAAAAAAAACAAAACCGAAAAAAAACCAAAGCAAAAGAAGGAGCACAGCAGCCCAUGGCUCCUCCUACACCUGUUUACUACCAUGUCCUCUACCGAAGACGUGGUGAAACCCAGGUCAGCUGGCAUGGAGAGACCUACUGCCUGGUUGGUGGCUACCGGAGCUAUGGGGAUGCUGCCAUCGCCACCCCAGUAAAGGUCAAAGAAGAGAAGCCAGAAUCCAGGUGGCCCGAUGGGGAUGCUUCCACUGUUACCCCAAUAAAGGCCAAAGCCGAGAAGCCAGUAUCCAUACAGGUUCUCAAAAGGCCUCGAUUUAUGGAAGAAUAUAACCAACAACUAGGGGGCCCUAGCCCCAAAAUUCGCCAGUUAAACAAUGGUGACAAGACUGAAGAAUGGCUCAGCGAUUCUUUUGAGAAGAUGGACAUCGGAGGAGAGAGCUAGUGCCUUCCACUGCCUUUUCUGAAGACAGAAACUGGCAAUCUGGCCAGAUCCCAACUCUGUCAGGAUCUCCCUUCCCUACCAACAACUGUAGGAAAGAGUCAGAAGCUGUGGUUGAAAGGAAUAGUUGCUUUGAGCACCCAGGGCUUCACCUGCUUGAAGAAGGAACCAUACUGUGCAAUCCAAGGAGUCAAAUGCAAAGCAGUCUCAUUGAGGCCUAAUAUACCAGCUGGACUCCUGACCUCAAUCAUUGCCAGCAAUCACCAGUACAAGUGAGGAUGAUUUAGGAUUCCUGAAGUCAGCAGGGGUUUACACAAGGAGCCUCAUGGCUGUGCUCUCAGGAACACCCCCAGAACUUUUACUUCCUUUCUUCCUGGCUUCUGAGAGAUUCCUACAAUUGAAUAAAAUAAUUUUCUGUAACAGUUUUUGACUGGAAAUCAGUUUGUCCAAGGCCACUCUCAAACUUCCAGCUCUCGGGCUGGGGAUUUAGCUCAGUGGUGCUGCUGCCUGCCUCACAAGGACAAGGUCCUGAGUUUGAUCCCUAGGACCAAAAAGAAGCCAACCAACUAAACAAACAAACAAGAACAACAACAACAAAAACCCCACAAAACUUCCAGCUCCCUCCAAGUACAUUCAUACACAGAAACGUGCUUUACUAAGGCCUUCUGAAUCCAAAUGGAAUCCGUGAUAACAGUCUCUAAUGGAGAGUCCCC